RNAcentral lists this unclassified non-coding RNA (17 nucleotides) under Mus musculus (house mouse). RNAcentral describes it as "oocyte_clustered_small_RNA4716". Lineage: Eukaryota; Metazoa; Chordata; Mammalia; Rodentia; Muridae. The record is from RNAcentral.
CUAAUCUCUUAGCACCC